RNAcentral lists this long non-coding RNA (543 nucleotides) under Olea europaea subsp. europaea. The record is from RNAcentral. Lineage: Eukaryota; Viridiplantae; Streptophyta; Magnoliopsida; Lamiales; Oleaceae.
AUUUACCCCCCCUCUAGGUGUUAGUUGGGUCGAACGAUAGGUUUUUCAAUUGUAAAUGUUGAAGUAGAUGUUUAGUAGAUACCAUACUGCAAACAUUGAUCCAAGCUGCAAAGUCUUGAACACGCCAUUGCUAUUUCCAGCAUCACUUACACUUUCAGGAACUGCGGCCGAUGACUUAACCUUGAACUCGAAUGAUGUUUGAGUCUCAGACAACAAUGUCGAGUAUUUUUUAUUAAAAUUCGAAGUAGAAUAUAGAGAGAGAACAUUAUGGGACGAUUUGAUGAAUGAUUUUGUAGAGUUCCCACACAAAACUGCUCUAUAUUUGUCGCUGAAUCUGUAGCUGAUUUUCCUAAAUGGAAUUUUUGUAGACUUGUUGAAUGAUUUGAAAGGAGAUAGAGCCAUUGCACAGUUCUCCAUUUUUCCUCCUCUUCCCGAUUUUUGUGAAGAAAAUUAAUUGAUCUAACUUAUAAAAUUCAUGUUUGUACUUGUUUAAAUUGACGGUUGGCAUUGUUCCAUGGGUCAGAAUAAUUUGGUAGAAUUGUG